Molecule: ribosomal RNA, 490 nt
Filed under: uncultured bacterium
Lineage: Bacteria
Description: partial 16S ribosomal RNA
Rfam family: Bacterial small subunit ribosomal RNA
Source: RNAcentral
AUUGAACGCUGGCGGCAGGCCUAACACAUGCAAGUCGAACGGUAACAGGAAACAGCUUGCUGUUUCGCUGACGAGUGGCGGACGGGUGAGUAAUGUCUGGGAAACUGCCUGAUGGCGGGGGAUAACUACUGGAAACGGUAGCUAAUACCGCAUAACGUCGCAAGACCAAAGAGGGGGACCUUCGGGCCUCUUGCCAUCGGAUGUGCCCAGAUGGGAUUAGCUAGUAGGUGGGGUAACGGCUCACCUAGGCGACGAUCCCUAGCUGGUCUGAGAGGAUGACCAGCCACACUGGAACUGAGACACGGUCCAGACUCCUACGGGAGGCAGCAGUGGGGAAUAUUGCACAAUGGGCGCAAGCCUGAUGCAGCCAUGCCGCGUGUAUGAAGAAGGCCUUCGGGUUGUAAAGUACUUUCAGCGGGGAGGAAGGGAGUAAAGUUAAUACCUUUGCUCAUUGACGUUACCCGCAGAAGAAGCACCGGCUAACUACGUG